This 371-nucleotide unclassified non-coding RNA is filed under the name uncultured Hygrophorus. RNAcentral's name for it is "sequence contains ITS1". The stretch from base 1 to 104 matches the Rfam family "5.8S ribosomal RNA", at positions 50 to 154 of the family's 154-position model. The record is from RNAcentral. Lineage: Eukaryota; Fungi; Basidiomycota; Agaricomycetes; Agaricales; Hygrophoraceae.
GAACUGCGAUAAGUAGUGUGAAUUGCAGAAUUCAGUGAAUCAUCAAACCCUUGAACGCAACUUGCGCUCGUGAGUGAAUCACGAGCACGCCUGUUUGAGCAUCGGUAUUCAAUCUCACCCUCCACCAUGGUGGGUGGAAAUGAAUGUCUUUCUCCAAGAAAGUCAUUUGAAAUGGAGUUGCGAACCUUGGCAAGACAGCCUCGGAAAACGCUCCUGUCUUAACCAGUGAUUGAUUCCUUUUGGAAAUUCUCUCUGGGAUUCAGGUUGCCUCUGAACUGUUCCUGUCAUAUGUUGUUUGCAUGAAGCAAUGUUAUAAUGAUUGCCCUUUAAACUUCGAUCUCAAAUCAGGCGAGACAACCCGCUGAAUUUAA